CCUUACCUUCACACACAUAAACACAUAAGUGUAAUGUAACCGUUGUGCAAGAGGUUGCUAAAUCACACGGACAAAAGAAGAGACACAUUUUUUCUGGAUAACCUGCCGCUGAAACUACGUGGAUGGGAAGUGCAGCAAGUCGGACAUUGAAAUUCAUUCAUACAUGUACUCCAUUAGUUGCUCCACCAUAUGAGCCUCACUCAAGUUCUCGACUUUCAAAUCUUGAUCACGGGAGUUUCCUUCUCGGAAAAGAUGCUGAUACAAACCAUUUUUUACGAACACAAGAUUGAUGGUGCUCUCCUUCCUGCAUAUACAUACAGUCGAACUCCAAUUCAGGGCAUCGAACGGAAAUGCAGAAAACAUCUAACAAAUGCAAGAUUCACCGAUCGCGACGCACAAGUAUUCCUGUCUAACGAUUCUCAUCUGUUUUCAACCCUGAGACAAUCCAACCUAGUAAAGUGUGCAACUAGAGUGGAAAGACGCAUCGAAAUUAAAGAUAUCGCGAGCAAAAUCUACUUCACAUGUGCGCCCUGCGUUUUUCUGAUUAAAUUGGAGCAGCUAAAACACUACUCGAUAUUUUCAAAACCUUAAGGAAAAGGGUGUGGGAUUUUGCGUCUUAAUAAUUGGUGAUAAACCUUGUUCAGAUGAUAUGCAACCUCUUCAUGAUCUGCUCGUCACAAAUGCGUGAAAUAAUGAUAUUCAAGACGCUGAUGAUGACCUUCUUGAAAGGUUUGCAUUUUCGGUGUUAAAGAAAUUGUUGGACCACAUUGCGGCAGAUGGUAAUAUUGGCUUGGCCGAAAGAAAAAAAGGUAUGCAUUUUGCCUUUUUAAAAAUUUGAUUCGGCAUUGAAACAUGAAUACACGUCUUUAAAAGUAUGGCAGUUAUUUAUUUAAAUCACAUAAUGUAGGUGUUUCGAUAAGACGUUGCAAAAAAUAUGUCAACAUGUACGAGGAGCUUACAACAACAGCGGGGUACCAGGCGAUGAGCGACCAUUAAUUCCCGAAGACAAUUUCAACUACCCGUCAAACACCAAUGAUGUUCGUAUACACAGCAAUUGUCAAAAAGAUGCCCUACCUUUUUUGCAGAACAAAUGAUAUGUAAAACAUCCUUAUUAAGCGAUCACCGGGUUUAUAUCUUGUUGUUGUUGUUCACAUACACAAAACAGAUUUUCGUGAUAACCAUCAUGUGAAUAUCAGUGUAACAGAUGAACAUCUAUUGUUCAAUACAUUAUUUAAAAAUUUCGAGUCAAACUGUGAAAACGCUUUCUUUGUCUAUUACGGAAGUCAAGCGAAAUGCCUUGCUCGAUUUCUUUUCUAUUAGUAACAGAUGUUUCUUCCCGAAGUUAGCUUAAAAGUGCGGUUACUCUAAAUGAUUUUGCUUAAAAUCACAAGCUAAAAAGCUAAAAUAAGUAUGUUAUAUAAUAUUAUCGAAUAAAUAAAUUUCUUUGUAGAUUAUUGCACAAGUUCUUCAAGUGCAAGGUGUAGUUGCCUGUUUCAAGAACAACGGACGUCUCAAGAUCUAUAUUGAUAAAACAACUGUUGAAUCUGAGAGCGAAUGUUCACAUGCCGUUAUCAAUAUCCCUGCUACUACUAGAUUCGACAAAUACUCGGUAUUUGUUGGAACUUUGGAGCGAUAUUACAAAGCUGGCGAUCCCAUUUCGAACACUCAUAUUGAAGCUACGUUAGGAGGGUUUGCUGAUAAGUGUAAAGGAUUAUCGCUAUUUACUAAAGAGCCCACACUGGUAGCUCUAAUAUCUCGACAUGUCGCUACAAAUAUAAACUCUGGAGAUCUCAAAGUGUCCGACAAGAUCCUAGGACACAUUAAACAUGUACACGAUUGUCAUUGGCUCGAUAUCGUUCCAGUGGAUGUUUAGCAGGAAGUAAGAAACGAUUGCGAAACACGUGUUCGAACAGAACAUAAUAUAUUGAAACAUGCUCAACUAAAUGGGCUUAAUUUAACAAAUCGUUCGCCAGUUCAAUCGUUCGCCAGUUCACAUUUGGGGAGCAAAAUCGUCACCUGGUUUGGGAUUUCUAGAAACAGACAAUGGAACGUUGACAACUGAACAAAUAAUAUACAGCAGAGAA
Dreissena polymorpha is the source of this 2084-nucleotide long non-coding RNA. RefSeq lists it as uncharacterized. The transcript has 4 exons. NCBI's taxonomy places the organism in Eukaryota, Metazoa, Mollusca, Bivalvia, Myida, Dreissenidae. The record is from RefSeq and is a predicted model, not a curated record.